This 401-nucleotide long non-coding RNA is filed under the name Vigna radiata. Its description in RNAcentral is "long non-coding RNA (VRAD_LNC001971)". The record is from RNAcentral. Lineage: Eukaryota; Viridiplantae; Streptophyta; Magnoliopsida; Fabales; Fabaceae.
GUUACGUAUGUGUUGUUAAAAAUUUGUUGUUAAAAAGAAUUUUUUCAAAAUAAAAAUAAAAGCAUGGAAAUAAAUGUAGUGGUGGAUAAAAACAAGAAAGGAGCAGAAGAGGACAGAGAAAGAGACCUUCUCUUCAGGCCUAUUCUAUUCUCUGCUAUUCCAAGAAUCCUAUGUUCAUAAUUAUUUAUAUGCUUCCACAAUAAAUCAAUGUGCGAGGAAAAACCCUAAUCUCUCAUAACUCACCCUUUAUCAAUUUUCUCUUUUCUUUUCUUUUUCCUUUUACAAAUCCAUCUUUACUAUAUAAUGUAAAAAUAACCUUUGAUGAAACCAUUAAUUCCGUACUAAUAAUAUGAUUUGGGUUGUUCAAGAAGACAUUCCAAGUUCCAGGAUAAAUCUUCUAC